This 500-nucleotide ribosomal RNA is filed under the name uncultured diatom. RNAcentral describes it as "SSU rRNA". It matches the Rfam family "Eukaryotic small subunit ribosomal RNA", at positions 486 to 987 of the family's 1831-position model. The record is from RNAcentral. Lineage: Eukaryota; Bacillariophyta.
CCGGGCCUUUCUAGGUCUGGCAAUUGGAAUGAGAACAAUUUAAAUCCCUUAUCGAGGAUCAAUUGGAGGGCAAGUCUGGUGCCAGCAGCCGCGGUAAUUCCAGCUCCAAUAGCGUAUAUUAAAGUUGUUGCAGUUAAAAAGCUCGUAGUCGGAUUCCUGGUGGGAGCGGUCGGUGCGGUCCUCAGGAUUGCUACUCGUACCGUCUCUUGCCAUCCUUGGGUCGAUCCUGUCUGGCAUUAAGUUGUCGGGCAGGGGAUGCCCAUCGUUUACUGUGAAAAAAUUAGAGUGUUUAAAGCAGGCUUAUGCCGUUGAAUAUAUUAGCAUGGAAUAAUAAGAUAGGACUUCGGAACUAUUUUGUCGGUUUGCGUUACGAAGUAAUGAUUAAUAGGGACAGUUGGGGGUAUUCGUAUUUCGUUGUCAGAGGUGAAAUUCUUGGAUUUCCGAAAGACGAACUACUGCGAAAGCAUUUACCAAGGAUGNUUUCAUUAAUCAAGAACGAA